GGCGAGAUGGCCGAGCGGUCUAAGGCGCCACGUUAAGGAGCUCCUUAAUAACAUCACCAUCUUCCGAGAUCUUGAUUCCGUGGUCCGAAAGGGCGUGGGUUCGAAUCCCACUCUCGUCA
This is a non-coding RNA of Immersiella caudata, 119 nucleotides long. Lineage: Eukaryota; Fungi; Ascomycota; Sordariomycetes; Sordariales; Lasiosphaeriaceae. The record is from the annotation of a GenBank genome assembly.